This 69-nucleotide transfer RNA is filed under the name Euthalia kardama. RNAcentral's name for it is "tRNA-Ser". The record is from RNAcentral. Lineage: Eukaryota; Metazoa; Arthropoda; Insecta; Lepidoptera; Nymphalidae.
AAUUAAUGAGCUUGUUUUAUAAGCAUUUGUUUUGAAAACUUAAGAAAGAGCUAUCUACUCUAUUAAUUU